UUCUUCCCCAGAAAGUGGGGGGAGGCAAAAACGAUGUAUUCCAGACUCCAACGGCUCCCAUCAUCAUGGUGCAUACCGUGGAGAGCUCGUUCUCAAGGCUCCUUGGGCGUGAGGAUGCAUGCCAGCUCCUGCAGUGUCCUGCAUGGUGCAGGGACAUUAGUGAAAUAUGAGAAGGCCCUGAGAAGAAAGGAACACCUACUAGCCAAGAUGAGGUAGUACAUACACUGCUUGUUUCUAAGCUACUGAGGUCUCAGCACAUGGUUCUUGUGUUCUAAUGAGAAUCUGAAGAGCCAUCCUACCUGCUGUUUCCCCAUGCAUGGUAUACUGAGCCCUGCUCCUGCGGGCAUACUGUGCCCAGCUCCUGUGCGGGUCAGCUUAGCACACAGGCAGCAAAAUGCCAUGCCUGUGAAGACUCACAGGAUCACAGAGGGAUAACCCAUUCAGGGAUCAGGGAUUACUGAGGGAUAGCCCACUCUCCCUGCUUUAGCCUUCUGCCAUGCUCCAACUGUUAGUGACGUCAUUGCCCAGUCCCACAGUGCUCUGCGGUGCCCAGAGGAAGAAAGUGGAACAGCCCUCCCUACGAAGGACCAACCGUUUCCAGCAUUUCUUUAAUCGCAUGUCUUUGAAACUGGCCAGAUUUAAGUGACCAUCUACUCACACUUCAUAAAUUCCCUUGCACAUGGCAAGUCACUUCAGUCGCCCAUGUAGGCACUGAAAAUAAAAGGGAUCGCUGUGGAGAAGCUGUGGCAGUCAUCACACUCCUUUUAUCGAAAUCAUAUGCUAAUUAUCAUUUGUUUGUUUGUUUUGUUUUGUUUUUGUUUGUUUUUUUCGAGACAGGGUUUCUCUGUGUAGCCCUGGCUGACCUGGAACUCACUUUGUAGACCAGGCUGGCCUCGAACUCAGAAACCCACCUGCCUCCUAAUUAUCAUUUAUUAGGAAUGACAGGGCGGUGUGGUGUGUCUAUAACUAGCGGGUGUGUGUGCAGAGGGAUCUAGAAAAGUCUCUCGCUUUAAGAUGAUACAGUCUGCAAAGAGAGAAAACACAAAGACCUCACAAACAAACCAAUGAAUCAUGCCAGGCCGUGAUAAAGACUCUCCGAGGACACAGUUACCCAGCGAUGACGUCACAGAAAAGGCAAGAGGGCCUGACAGGGAUCUCAGAGGACAAACAGAGUCUCACCAGACCCGACGGAACCGUUCCAGGUGGAUGAAGGGUGUGAUCGGAGCGGCCUUAGUGGAGUCUGUGGAAACUGGGAAAUAGUGGGCCUUAAGCUGGGAAUGUGGAUUCAGGCCAGAAUGUGGAAGGAAACUAAGGCGCUUGGACUUCAUCCUAGUGGAAGAACUGCAAUCCAGUGACUAAGCAGCUAUGACAGAAUGUGUGUAUUUUGGGACGUGUUUCUACAUAUCAACAGCAAGGCAAGAGGAAUCCAGGGAAGUGCAUUCUUCUAGCAAAAGGAACCCACUAGAAGAUGCAUGACCAUCCUUUAGUGCGUUCCCAGUACUGAUGGCAUGUGGCCACUUGGAAUCCCACCAACCCAGAUGCCAACUGGCACCUUGCUUUAAAAGGUACCACACUGAUCAUCAGACUGUGGCUGUGGUACCUGAUGAAAUAGCUGUGGACUCACCCAGCUGCUGAAGGCUGUCCCGUGUGACUCACAGGUCACUAUUUGAGCUUUGCUAAGAAUCCAAGCGCCCACACAAGCCAGGAAGUUCCAACAACCCAGGCAGGAUCAGCUUGGCGGAGAGCACCUCCUCUUUCACCCUCUGUAGGGUUAUGGGGAAAGCUCUGGUGUUCAACGUGGACCACGACAAUCUGGUGAACGCCACAAAUCCUGCCGAGCCUGGGAUUGCAUGCCUUUUGAUUAAUACAGCUUGCUACAUUCCUAAGGACUAUAUAAGGAAACAUUGCAUGGGCCAGCAAGAGAUGGCUCAGAGAGGAAAGGCGUGCCCCCCAAACCAGUGCUCUGAGGUCCGUUCCAGGGAAGCACCUCGUGGAAAGAGAAGGCCCACCACACAAGCUGUCCUUCUACCUCCUCAUCUGUACCAUGGCUCGUGUCCUCUCUCACUGCCACAAAACAAAUAAAUGUGACAGUCAUAGAAGAAAGGGGACACCGUGCAAAGAAAUCUAAUUCUGGCCCAUUGGAAGCAACCUGACUUGAUAGUUUGAUCUUAGUUUUCCUUCAGGAAAAAAAAAAAUACAAAGGUCAAAAACUAAUCUUUUCCCAGUUGUUCUCAGUUGAGAGUGAAUUCCGAAUUUCCCUUUUAUUAAUAUCUUGCCCUUUAUUGUGUGUCAGAGUGGAAGCGGUGGAGGCCGGACUGUGACCAUGAUGUAUGACUUUCCUGCUCUCCCUUCUCCUGUUGAGUGAUUAUCAUUUCACAAAAGUUCCCUCUGAAAGGGAGGAAUGUGCUUUUAAACCACACGGUUCCCAAUGAACCACCUCUGCCAAGGUGAUUAGUAAUCCCCCCCCCCCCCAGCAACAAGCUUGGGAGUCCACAGUACCCAGGCUCUCCAAACCGUUCGAGUUUUGUCACACACGAAACAGAAAACGCACGGUCUGAGAUCCACGAAACAGGAGCAGAAAGGACGGCUCAGUGGCCAAGGGCUGCUCUUCCAGAAGUCUCAGGUUCAGUUCCCAGCACCCACACGGUG
Molecule: long non-coding RNA, 2649 nt
Organism: Mus musculus (house mouse)
Lineage: Eukaryota; Metazoa; Chordata; Mammalia; Rodentia; Muridae
Product: RIKEN cDNA 4933431J24 gene
Exons: 5
Source: RefSeq, a predicted model, not a curated record